RNAcentral lists this long non-coding RNA (1811 nucleotides) under Homo sapiens (human). Its description in RNAcentral is "non-protein coding SDCBP2-AS1:9". Lineage: Eukaryota; Metazoa; Chordata; Mammalia; Primates; Hominidae. The record is from RNAcentral.
AGAGUGGAACAUGGCGGCCUCCUUGCCGCUUGCGUUACCAGAGUCCACCCGGCCUCGUGCUUUCUCCGGGCGCCCGUAGCUGGCGCCGGCAUCCACAAAAAUAGAUCAGACAGAGGAUGAAUAAAGAGGAAGCUCCAGGCUGUGAAGCGUCUAGUCCUUGCUCCCCUCAGAAGCUGGGACAUGUUGGACCAAGGUGGUAAGGAUAGUGAGAGGCCAAAGAUUUAACAAUAUACUGUGAUGCUGGGGCUGGGAGGAGAUUGCACCUUUAUAGCCUGGUGGUGGCAGUCCAGAGUGCAACCCCUAGAGAUGGUAACUUGACAAGACCUCUCAAAAACACUACACACAGCUUUUGAGCCCCUCAUCCCACUUCUGAGAGUAAGUCCUAUGGCAACAUGUGCACACGUGGAAAAUGAAGUCUGUACAAGUUUCCCAGAAGCUGGACAAGCCACGACGGCGCCUUCCAAUAAAAGGGGAACUCCAGAGACGCUAUGAGAAAAGAGGAACAGACAUCUGCAAUAGAUAUCUGCAACUUCCUUUUCAAAAACACCAUCGGCAUUGCUUUCUCAGGAAGCCACUGCCAGCCUAUUGUGAUAGCUGACACUGAGUUCCUGAGAAUUCUCUAAUUAGGAUCCCAGAUUGGAGGGUCAGCCAGUGGUUAACAUAUAAUGGACACAAAACUGAUUUUACUGGAAGACUGAGGGUGGGCACUCACCAUGGUUCUAAGCAUUCAUUACUCAGAAGAUCCAUAAAAACAUUACAGUUCUGUUGUGUAAGAGUUUAGGAAAAAAAGAAAAUCCUGACAAAAAUCCCAACCUAAAAAACAGUGUCAACAUUUGUAAGUAGGAUGGGGAGGCAGAGAUGAAUUGGCAGUGUUAUCACAGCUACUGGACUAUGUGGACUUUAACAAAGUAAGAAACGGGUGGGGGUUGGGUGGUGGUAUCUUAAUAGAGCAGGAGUAGAGACGGAUGUCCUGGGGCAGAAUGGGUACCAAUGCUGCCUGAAGCCUGGAGCUGGGAGCUGAGGACUAAGAGGUAGACAGGAGGGUGGGGACCGGUACCUGCUCCAAGGAACUGGUGCCCCAGAACUGGUGAGCUGGGGUAUGCAUUUAGCUCAUUCGUUUACCAGAAUGCAGUCACCACCUGAUGAAAGAAAUGACUAAUGGCAGGACUUGAACAGUUCUCUAUAAAUGAGUACCUGGGAGAAAAACAGGUCUCCAGGCUCCACAAUACCCAAUAAACACACUGCCUUUAGCCCACUUCAAGCUGCACUUCUUACAUGGAACCCAACCCAACCAACCUCAGAGGUAAGGGUGAGAGCAGGCAAUGAACAGCUAUGAUUCUCCAUUCCCUGGCCAGGCAGGGAGCCUUUCCAUCCACCCUCGUGAGACUGCUUGUAACAGAAAUAAGGAAACCGACUCCAAGGCUCAGUAACCCACCCAAGGUCAGAACCACGGAGUGGCAGGGCCUGUGAGCCACAAAGGAGACUGAAAACCAGAAAGAGCUUCUCUCUGGUCUGUUAUUUUAAGAAAAACAUGCCCAGAGGGGCCACCUGGAAGCAAGGCUGUGUGGCACCCUCACCUUCCUAAUUAAACAACAACUUCCCAGGAGCAACGACAGCAACAACAGCCUGGCCCAGCAGAUGAACUCGAAUCAAUCCAAGCCCUUCCCCUAUACGGGUCAGUUUGGGCACUACUUUACCUGCUGUGAAGUCUACUGGGAUCUUCCAGGAAAGUCCCACCUCAUUAGUAAAAAGAAAAACAAAGACUCGGGAAGAAAGUUCCUGCCCUCCCUGUUGAAUGCUGUGUGAGGAUA